UACGUAGGGGGCGAGCGUUGUCCGGAAUUAUUGGGCGUAAAGAGCUCGUAGGCGGUGUGUCGCGUCGGCCGUGAAAACUUGGGGCUUAACCCUGAGCUUGCGGUCGAUACGGGCAUCACUGGAGUUCGGCAGGGGAGACUGGAAUUCCUGGUGUAGCGGUGAAAUGCGCAGAUAUCAGGAGGAACACCGGUGGCGAAGGCGGGUCUCUGGGCCGAUACUGACGCUGAGGAGCGAAAGCGUGGGGAGCAAACAGG
RNAcentral lists this ribosomal RNA (254 nucleotides) under uncultured bacterium. Its description in RNAcentral is "partial 16S ribosomal RNA". It matches the Rfam family "Bacterial small subunit ribosomal RNA", at positions 524 to 776 of the family's 1533-position model. The record is from RNAcentral.